Molecule: ribosomal RNA, 292 nt
Filed under: uncultured bacterium
Lineage: Bacteria
Also listed under: 1 other name
Description: partial 16S ribosomal RNA
Source: RNAcentral
GGACUACUAGGGUUUCUAAUCCUGUUCGCUCCCCACGCUUUCGUGCCUCAGCGUCAGUUACAGCCUAGUUAGCUGCCUACGCAAUCGGUGUUCUUGAUUGUAUCUAUGCAUUUCACCGCUACACAAUCAAUUCCGCCAACCUCGUCUGUACUCAAGCCCGUCAGUAUCAAUGGCAGUUCUCCAGUUGAGCUGGAGGCUUUCACCACUGACUUAACGGGCCGCCUACGCACCCUUUAAACCCAAUAAAUCCGGACAACGCUUGCACCCUCCGUAUUACCGCGGCGGCUGGCAC